This 350-nucleotide ribosomal RNA is filed under the name uncultured bacterium. RNAcentral's name for it is "bacterial SSU rRNA". It matches the Rfam family "Bacterial small subunit ribosomal RNA", at positions 8 to 353 of the family's 1533-position model. The record is from RNAcentral.
AGAGUUUGAUCCUGGCUCAGGACGAACGCUGGCGGCGCGCCUAANACAUGCAAGUCGAACGAGAGAUGAAGAGCUUGCUCUUCAAAUCGAGUGGCGAACGGGUGAGUAACGCGUGAGGAACCUGCCUCAAAGAGGGGGACAACAGUUGGAAACGACUGCUAAUACCGCAUAAGCCCACAGCUCGGCAUCGAGCAGAGGGAAAAGGAGUAAUCCGCUUUGAGAUGGCCUCGCGUCCGAUUAGCUAGUUGGUGAGGUAAUGGCCCACCAAGGCGACGAUCGGUAGCCGGACUGAGAGGUUGAACGGCCACAUUGGGACUGAGACACGGCCCAGACUCCUACGGGAGGCAGCA